This 402-nucleotide unclassified non-coding RNA is filed under the name fungal sp. Its description in RNAcentral is "partial internal transcribed spacer region". The stretch from base 1 to 46 matches the Rfam family "Eukaryotic small subunit ribosomal RNA", at positions 1786 to 1831 of the family's 1831-position model. Lineage: Eukaryota; Fungi. The record is from RNAcentral.
AAGUCGUAACAAGGUUUCCGUAGGUGAACCUGCGGAAGGAUCAUUAACACGUAUCCACGUUAUCAAACCAAUGAGAACCGUUUUCCCGUCUCCCUGCUGCAUGAAAUGAAUUGGUAACCAGUUUGAGGGGUUGAUGGGGCUGUCUAAGCGCGACCUUCCUGGCACACUGACGUUUAUUCGUCGACAAUUGUAUUCGUGUUCUGCAGGCUUAAUUCUUUUACUCGCUUUGACUUCCAUCAUAGUCGUGGCGGUAAGGGAGCCCUAACAAAACUAUAUUUACCCCCUUUUUGCUAGUUGACUUUUUAUAUGUGUUGUUCGAUUGCGUCAUUGCAAUGGCUCGGCACACGUUUAUUAAUUGAACGUUAAAAAAUACAACUCUUAGCAAUGGAUAUCUUGGUUCUC